This 497-nucleotide ribosomal RNA is filed under the name uncultured bacterium. RNAcentral's name for it is "partial 16S ribosomal RNA". It matches the Rfam family "Bacterial small subunit ribosomal RNA", at positions 28 to 507 of the family's 1533-position model. The record is from RNAcentral.
GAUGAACGCUGGCGGCGUGCCUAAUACAUGCAAGUCGAGCGGAAAGAUGAGGAGCUUGCUCCUCUGACGUUAGCGGCGGACGGGUGAGUAACACGUGGAUAACCUACCUAUAAGACUGGGAUAAAUUCGGGAAACCGGAGCUAAUACCGGAUAAUAUAUUGAACCGCAUGGUUCAAUAGUGAAAGACGGUUUUGCUGUCACUUAUAGAUGGAUCCGCGCCGCAUUAGCUAGUUGGUAAGGUAACGGCUUACCAAGGCAACGAUGCGUAGCCGACCUGAGAGGGUGAUCGGCCACACUGGAACUGAGACACGGUCCAGACUCCUACGGGAGGCAGCAGUAGGGAAUCUUCCGCAAUGGGCGAAAGCCUGACGGAGCAACGCCGCGUGAGUGAUGAAGGUCUUCGGAUCGUAAAACUCUGUUAUUAGGGAAGAACAAAUGUGUAAGUAACUAUGCACGUCUUGACGGUACCUAAUCAGAAAGCCACGGCUAACUACGUG